This 89-nucleotide ribosomal RNA is filed under the name Gammaproteobacteria bacterium. Lineage: Bacteria; Pseudomonadati; Pseudomonadota; Gammaproteobacteria. The record is from RNAcentral.
CCCGAUCCCAUCUCGAACUCGGAAGUGAAAAUGCUUAGCGCCGAUGAUAGUGUGGGGUCUCCCCAUGUGAAAGUAGGUCACUGCCAGGC